GUCUACGGCCAUGCCACCUAAAACAUGCCUGAUGUCUGAUCUUGGAAGCUAAGCAGGGUCAGGCCUCGUUAGUACUUGGAUGGGAGACCACACAGAAAGAUCAGGUGCUAUGAGCA
This 116-nucleotide ribosomal RNA is filed under the name Pteropus alecto (black flying fox). The record is from RNAcentral. Lineage: Eukaryota; Metazoa; Chordata; Mammalia; Chiroptera; Pteropodidae.